This 566-nucleotide ribosomal RNA is filed under the name Streptomyces sp. 415E07. RNAcentral's name for it is "bacterial SSU rRNA". It matches the Rfam family "Bacterial small subunit ribosomal RNA", at positions 93 to 671 of the family's 1533-position model. The record is from RNAcentral. Lineage: Bacteria; Bacillati; Actinomycetota; Actinomycetes; Kitasatosporales; Streptomycetaceae.
UAGUGGCGAACGGGUGAGUAACACGUGGGCAAUCUGCCCUUCACUCUGGGACAAGCCCUGGAAACGGGGUCUAAUACCGGAUACAACCACUGACCUCAUGGUCGGGUGGUGGAAAGCUCCGGCGGUGAAGGAUGAGCCCGCGGCCUAUCAGCUUGUUGGUGAGGUAAUGGCUCACCAAGGCGACGACGGGUAGCCGGCCUGAGAGGGCGACCGGCCACACUGGGACUGAGACACGGCCCAGACUCCUACGGGAGGCAGCAGUGGGGAAUAUUGCACAAUGGGCGAAAGCCUGAUGCAGCGACGCCGCGUGAGGGAUGACGGCCUUCGGGUUGUAAACCUCUUUCAGCAGGGAAGAAGCGAAAGUGACGGUACCUGCAGAAGAAGCGCCGGCUAACUACGUGCCAGCAGCCCGCGGUAAUACGUAGGGCGCAAGCGUUGUCCGGAAUUAUUGGGCGUAAAGAGCUCGUAGGCGGCUUGUCACGUCGGGUGUGAAAGCCCGGGGCUUAACCCCGGGUCUGCAUUCGAUACGGGCUAGCUAGAGUGUGGUAGGGGAGAUCGGAAUUCCU